Molecule: long non-coding RNA, 1194 nt
Filed under: Urocitellus parryii (Arctic ground squirrel)
Lineage: Eukaryota; Metazoa; Chordata; Mammalia; Rodentia; Sciuridae
Description: lncRNA (ENSUPAG00010005492.1)
Source: RNAcentral
GGCUUCGCGAGGACGCGUUUGCAGCCCCCUCUGCCUCUCCUCUCGGGCGGCUCAGGCGAACGAACCGUCUCGUUGGGGCUUCGUGGUCGUGUAUUUCAUAUUGGGGCUCUUUUCGGGGUUUGUAAUUUGGCCGUGGGUAGGUAAUUGGCUGGAGCAGGGCGGCAGGGCGCGGCAGCCAAUCAGCGCGUGGCUUCUAUAGGGCUUGAGUUAUUAGACGCUGAUCUCAAAACAUCCUUCAUCAGACACCAAGGAGAGGCCAACAGAUGAGGGGAGCCAUUUUUCUGCAAUGGAAUUAAAUGGCCAAGCUAAAGGACUCACUAUUGGAAGAAUGAAGAAGACCUUUUAAAAAGAUCUGGAUUUUUCCUUAUGACUUGGAAUCCAUCUUUGUCUUGUAUAACUAGGUCAUAGCACACCAUUAAUGUCAGCAGUUAACAGUUUUGAAUUCCAAAAAACCUAAAGCAGUAAACAGUCCUCUGCGAAGCCGACUUUUUGCCAACCCAACUCUGGAAAAUGCAGACGUGGAAGGAAGCAGAAAAUGCCAUGAGAGUAUAACUUACAAAAAGGUUCUUGACCGGAGAAGGGGCCAUGUCUUGGUACCCCCGCAGAGUGGACAAUCCUUUCUUCUGGAUAACAGGAGCAGGCCUAGUGUGACUGACAGUCCUCCCACUGAGGUAGGUGAGAACCCUUUCCCAGGCUGUGAGGGCGAUUUAGGGGCUUUGGCCUGACGCCCGGGGAGGGCGGGUUGGGAUCCCCAAACCCGCUGGGCUGGUUCUGCCGCCCCUCCCCCACACAGAUGCGGCGACUGUGUGUGAAAUGGGCGGCCUGCUGGGUCUAUCCAGCCCCGCCUGUCAGCUUCUGUUGUCAGGCAUUUGGGGCGUGCAACUCUGCUGAAUUUAGCAGCUAACUAGAGGCUGCACUUGCAAGUAUUCCCCAGUUGUGUGUUUGUGGUGGGGGGAGGGCCUUGGAUGCCUCUUGCUUCUGAGACGUCCCAGCCGCAGCCCCCUCUUCCGGCCUUCAAUAUGAGCCACCUCUGAUGUCUGGUUGCUAGUGAGAUGAAGAAGAGACAGGCAUGAGAUCUGGGCCAGCUUUCCUGGAGGUUUCCGUGACUCUUCCUGCCCUUUCCAGGGUAUCCUCCUUGCUCCCCAAUGGGCAGGCAUGUAUAACCUGAUUUCUAGUGUGAAACCUGAAUGGCUG